RNAcentral lists this microRNA precursor (109 nucleotides) under Picea abies (Norway spruce). RNAcentral describes it as "miR3710g stem-loop (pab-MIR3710g)". The record is from miRBase by way of RNAcentral. Lineage: Eukaryota; Viridiplantae; Streptophyta; Pinopsida; Pinales; Pinaceae.
CUCCCAGACUCGGUCGGGAACCUGACGGGCCUUCGAAACCUCGACUUGGGCGGGUGCUCCUCUUUGCAGACGCUCCCAGACUCCGUCGGGAACCUGACGGGCCUCCAAA